This 701-nucleotide long non-coding RNA is filed under the name Glycine max (soybean). Its description in RNAcentral is "long non-coding RNA (GMAX_LNC004053)". Lineage: Eukaryota; Viridiplantae; Streptophyta; Magnoliopsida; Fabales; Fabaceae. The record is from RNAcentral.
UUUUUUGGUUGCUGAUACGAACCAAUUCGUGAUGUUUAGUGUCCAAUGUUUUAGUUUUACAUCAAUUAUUUUUAUAGCUUUGCGUAUGUAACAAAAAACUCAACUCAUCCCCACUAUCACCACAGUACUCUUCUGCUUUAAAAUAAAAUCAACAUAACAGUGUGCAAAAAAAAGAGAGAAGAAAUAGAGAGGAAAAGCACACACAAAAGAAAAAAACAUUAGUCACCGGAAAACUCCAUAAAACACCACUAUGGUGCUUUCCUUCGCCGUGUACAGCAACGACCUAUUAUUUGUCUCUCCCCUUUCUUCAUUUCCUAUUAUUCGUUGGCACCACCACUAGUGCAACCACCGUGACCAGAUUUGUGACCGUUACUACAAGAUUUUCGAUUUAAAAAUGGUGUCCUCCUCGUCUACUCUCACUUCUCCCCGAACGGACACCACCAUAGAGGGCAGUGAGUGUGGUUGGCGGUGACAGAGGAGGUCAUGGCAUGGUGGUGGUGAAAGUUUCCGGCGGCGAUGGGCGAUGCGGAGGAGAGUGCGGAGGAAAGGGUUGCAUUGGAAGGGAUAUGAAAAAUACAGAGAAACUUACGAAACAAAGAGGAGAGAACUUUGCCAUAAAAAGAAUUAUCAAUUAAAAUAACUAUUAUCUCAUGCUUUGUUUGCAUGGUACAACCACAAGAUACUAUUUUAUUGUUAUAUCC